AGAUUAAGUUAUUAAGGGCGCACGGUGGAUGCCUUGGCACUAGAAGCCGAUGAAGGACGUUACUAACGACGAUAUGCUUUGGGGAGCUGUAAGUAAGCUUUGAUCCAGAGAUUUCCGAAUGGGGAAACCCAGCAUGAGUUAUGUCAUGUUAUCGAUAUGUGAAUACAUAGCAUAUCAGAAGGCACACCCGGAGAACUGAAACAUCUUAGUACCCGGAGGAAGAGAAAGAAAAUUCGAUUCCCUUAGUAGCGGCGAGCGAAACGGGAAGAGCCCAAACCAACAAGCUUGCUUGUUGGGGUUGUAGGACACUCUAUACGGAGUUACAAAGGACGACAUUAGACGAAUCAUCUGGAAAGAUGAAUCAAAGAAGGUAAUAAUCCUGUAGUCGAAAAUGUUGUCUCUCUUGAGUGGAUCCUGAGUACGACGGAGCACGUGAAAUUCCGUCGGAAUCUGGGAGGACCAUCUCCUAAGGCUAAAUACUCUCUAGUGACCGAUAGUGAACCAGUACCGUGAGGGAAAGGUGAAAAGCACCCCGGAAGGGGAGUGAAAUAGAACCUGAAACCGUGUGCUUACAAGUAGUCAGAGCCCGUUAAUGGGUGAUGGCGUGCCUUUUGUAGAAUGAACCGGCGAGUUACGAUUUGAUGCAAGGUUAAGCAGUAAAUGUGGAGCCGUAGCGAAAGCGAGUCUGAAUAGGGCGUUUAGUAUUUGGUCGUAGACCCGAAACCAGGUGAUCUACCCUUGGUCAGGUUGAAGUUCAGGUAACACUGAAUGGAGGACCGAACCGACUUACGUUGAAAAGUGAGCGGAUGAACUGAGGGUAGCGGAGAAAUUCCAAUCGAACCUGGAGAUAGCUGGUUCUCUCCGAAAUAGCUUUAGGGCUAGCCUCAAGUGAUGAUUAUUGGAGGUAGAGCACUGUUUGGACGAGGGGCCCCUCUCGGGUUACCGAAUUCAGACAAACUCCGAAUGCCAAUUAAUUUAACUUGGGAGUCAGAACAUGGGUGAUAAGGUCCGUGUUCGAAAGGGAAACAGCCCAGACCACCAGCUAAGGUCCCAAAAUAUAUGUUAAGUGGAAAAGGAUGUGGCGUUGCCCAGACAACUAGGAUGUUGGCUUAGAAGCAGCCAUCAUUUAAAGAGUGCGUAAUAGCUCACUAGUCGAGUGACACUGCGCCGAAAAUGUACCGGGGCUAAACAUAUUACCGAAGCUGUGGAUUGUCCUUUGGACAAUGGUAGGAGAGCGUUCUAAGGGCGUUGAAGCAUGAUCGUAAGGACAUGUGGAGCGCUUAGAAGUGAGAAUGCCGGUGUGAGUAGCGAAAGACGGGUGAGAAUCCCGUCCACCGAUUGACUAAGGUUUCCAGAGGAAGGCUCGUCCGCUCUGGGUUAGUCGGGUCCUAAGCUGAGGCCGACAGGCGUAGGCGAUGGAUAACAGGUUGAUAUUCCUGUACCACCUAUAAUCGUUUUAAUCGAUGGGGGGACGCAGUAGGAUAGGCGAAGCGUGCGAUUGGAUUGCACGUCUAAGCAGUAAGGCUGAG
RNAcentral lists this ribosomal RNA (1529 nucleotides) under Staphylococcus aureus. Its description in RNAcentral is "partial 23S ribosomal RNA". It matches the Rfam family "Bacterial large subunit ribosomal RNA", at positions 1 to 1529 of the family's 2925-position model. The record is from RNAcentral. Lineage: Bacteria; Bacillati; Bacillota; Bacilli; Caryophanales; Staphylococcaceae.